RNAcentral lists this ribosomal RNA (438 nucleotides) under Streptomyces sp. RNAcentral describes it as "bacterial SSU rRNA". It matches the Rfam family "Bacterial small subunit ribosomal RNA", at positions 20 to 460 of the family's 1533-position model. The record is from RNAcentral. Lineage: Bacteria; Bacillati; Actinomycetota; Actinomycetes; Kitasatosporales; Streptomycetaceae.
UGGCUCAGGACGAACGCUGGCGGCGUGCUUAACACAUGCAAGUCGAACGAUGAACCUGCUUCGGUGGGGGAUUAGUGGCGAACGGGUGAGUAACACGUGGGCAAUCUGCCCUUCACUCUGGGACAAGCCCUGGAAACGGGGUCUAAUACCGGAUAAUACUUCUGCCUGCAUGGGUGGGGGUUGAAAGCUCCGGCGGUGAAGGAUGAGCCCGCGGCCUAUCAGCUUGUUGGUGGGGUGAUGGCCUACCAAGGCGACGACGGGUAGCCGGCCUGAGAGGGCGACCGGCCACACUGGGACUGAGACACGGCCCAGACUCCUACGGGAGGCAGCAGUGGGGAAUAUUGCACAAUGGGCGAAAGCCUGAUGCAGCGACGCCGCGUGAGGGAUGACGGCCUUCGGGUUGUAAACCUCUUUCAGCAGGGAAGAAGCGCAAGUGAC